UGUGACCUCAAAUCAGGUAGGACUACCCGCUGAACUUAAGCAUAUCAAUAAGCGGAGGAAAAGAAACUAACAAGGAUUCCCCUAGUAACUGCGAGUGAAGCGGGAAAAGCUCAAAUUUAAAAUCUGGCGGUCUUUUUGGCUGUCCGAGUUGUAAUCUAGAGAAGUGUUAUCCGCGCUGGACCGUGUACAGGUCUCCUGGAAUGGAGCAUCAUAGAGGGUGAGAAUCCCGUCUUUGACAUGGACUGCCAGGGCUUUGUGAUGCGCUCUCAAAGAGUCGAGUUGUUUGGGAAUGCAGCUCAAAAUGGGUGGUAAAUUCCAUCUAAAGCUAAAUAUUGGCGAGAGACCGAUAGCGAACAAGUACCGUGAGGGAAAGAUGAAAAGAACUUUGGAAAGAGAGUUAAACAGUACGUGAAAUUGCUGAAAGGGAAACGCUUGAAGUCAGUCACGUCAUCCAGAGAUCAGCCUUGCUUUUGCUUGGUGCACUUUCUGGUUUGAUGGGUCAGCAUCAAUUUUGAUCAUUGGAAAAAGGUUGAGGGAAUGUGGCAUCUUUGGAUGUGUUAUAGCCUUUGACCGCAUGCAAUGGUCGGGAUUGAGGAACUCAGCAUGCCGCGAGGCCGGG
RNAcentral lists this ribosomal RNA (619 nucleotides) under Cortinarius sp. UBC F17230 OC158. Its description in RNAcentral is "eukaryotic LSU rRNA". It matches the Rfam family "Eukaryotic large subunit ribosomal RNA", at positions 1 to 630 of the family's 3401-position model. Lineage: Eukaryota; Fungi; Basidiomycota; Agaricomycetes; Agaricales; Cortinariaceae. The record is from RNAcentral.